CUCACACAGCAUCCAAACGGGGCACCCUUUUGGCAGGCCAGGCAGAGACCCGCGGCCACAGGCUGCGUGCCCACAGGACCUCCCCGGGACAGAGGGUCCGUGGCAGGCAGGCAGCACACAGCCUGUGGUCUCGAACUGGCUGCCGGGCUGGAGGGUGCGGGUCGCGCUGAAGCGCCCCACCCUCCCGUGAGGGAACGGGCGCUGAGGACGGAAAUCCCUCUGUGCCACGAAGGGUGUCGGGGUGUGCGACUGUGUGCCCCUUGUGUAGGCGUGUGUGUGUGUGUGUGUGUGUGUGAGUGCCCACGCGAGCGUGCGGCGGGGGUGAUUCCGUACGCUGCCGCCCUCCUUCCCGACCUGCUGCCCCACUUGGGCCCCCGUGACCGAGCGGGGACAAGGGUCCCCAGGCCCUCAGCUGUCCUCGCGGCGUGGGAGUGUGUGGAGGCGCGGCGGCCGUGCCGGGGGAGGGCGGGCGACCUGUGCGUCAGCGGUGGGGGGGCUGCUGGCGGCCGGGUAGGAGGGAAGGCCCGGGCCGCGGUGGUGUGGGGCGCCGAACCCCCUGGUGCCGGGACCCGCGAGCCGCGGGGCGCAGCCCUGGGCAGGCGUGGAGGCUGCCGGGCACGGCUGGCGUGUGGCUGGGCGAUGGCGGCAGGCAGGGGAUCCGGCCUAGAAAGAGAGAGUAGGAGUUCCCUGUGGCCAGCGGCAGCCGGAGGAGGUUGGCUCCCCUUGGCUUGGCGGCAGCGUGCCGACUGGGCGCCCGGUGCUCUGCAGGUCCUGGGCUGGGCAGGCGGAGGGCUGGAGUUCGGGCACUGGUGCAGGGCUAGGCGGAGGGCGGCUGAGGAGGAGGGGGGGGGAGGAGGAGAAGAGAAGAGAAAAGAGGGAGGAGGCGGAGGAGAAGCGGCAGCGGGAGCGGGAGCGGGAGUGGGAAUGGGAAUGGGAAUGGGAGUGAGAGGAGGAGGAGGAGGAGGCGGCGGCGGCGGCGGCGGCGGCGGCGGCGGCUGUGCGGGCGCGCACUCAAGAGGGGCCUGGAGGCAGCCUCUGGCGUCUACGGCCAUACCACCCUGA
RNAcentral lists this long non-coding RNA (1062 nucleotides) under Oryctolagus cuniculus (rabbit). Its description in RNAcentral is "lncRNA (ENSOCUG00000037551.1)". The record is from RNAcentral. Lineage: Eukaryota; Metazoa; Chordata; Mammalia; Lagomorpha; Leporidae.